Molecule: transfer RNA, 40 nt
Filed under: Pandanus amaryllifolius
Lineage: Eukaryota; Viridiplantae; Streptophyta; Magnoliopsida; Pandanales; Pandanaceae
Description: partial tRNA-His
Source: RNAcentral
GCGCACGAGCCCAAGUGGAUCAAGGCAGUGGAUUGUGAAU